Molecule: unclassified non-coding RNA, 337 nt
Filed under: soil metagenome
Description: partial contains 5.8S ribosomal RNA, internal transcribed spacer 2, and large subunit ribosomal RNA
Rfam family: 5.8S ribosomal RNA (bases 1-121)
Source: RNAcentral
GAUGAAGAACGCAGCGAAAUGCGAUAAGUAAUGCGAAUUGCAGAAUUCCAGUGAGUCAUCGAAUCUUUGAACGCACAUUGCGCCCUUUGGUAUUCCGAAGGGCAUGCCUGUUCGAGCGUCAUUUCAACCAUCAAGCCCCCGGCUUGUGUUGGGGACCUGCGGCUGCCGCAGGCCCUGAAAACCAGUGGCGGGCUCGCUAGUCACUCCGAGCGUAGUAAUACAUCUCGCUCAGGGCGUGCUGCGGGUUCCGGCCGUUAAAAAAGCCUUAUUUACCCAAGGUUGACCUCGGAUCAGGUAGGAAGACCCGCUGAACUUAAGCAUAUCAAUAAGCGGAGGA